Molecule: long non-coding RNA, 188 nt
Organism: Pan troglodytes (chimpanzee)
Lineage: Eukaryota; Metazoa; Chordata; Mammalia; Primates; Hominidae
Exons: 2
Source: RefSeq, a predicted model, not a curated record
UCCCAAACCUCAGUCCACGUCAGAAUCACCAAAGGGCCUGAUGCAUCCCAGAUUCCAGUCCCUUCUCUCCAUCCCAGACAUUCUGCUGAGGCAACUACCACAUUUAAGUGGACAAGUUCAUCAUUAAUAUUUAACUCAUGAGGCCUCUCUUGGAUCAGCUUUUCUUCACUGAUCAUUCAUCUUUGAGG